Molecule: ribosomal RNA, 465 nt
Filed under: Vreelandella stevensii
Lineage: Bacteria; Pseudomonadati; Pseudomonadota; Gammaproteobacteria; Oceanospirillales; Halomonadaceae
Description: partial 16S ribosomal RNA
Rfam family: Bacterial small subunit ribosomal RNA
Source: RNAcentral
CCUACGGGUGGCUGCAGUGGGGAAUAUUGGACAAUGGGGGGAACCCUGAUCCAGCCAUGCCGCGUGUGUGAAGAAGGCCCUCGGGUUGUAAAGCACUUUCAGUGAGGAAGAACGCCUGGUGGUUAAUACCCAUCAGGAAAGACAUCACUCACAGAAGAAGCACCGGCUAACUCCGUGCCAGCAGCCGCGGUAAUACGGAGGGUGCGAGCGUUAAUCGGAAUUACUGGGCGUAAAGCGCGCGUAGGUGGCUUGAUAAGCCGGUUGUGAAAGCCCCGGGCUCAACCUGGGAACGGCAUCCGGAACUGUCAAGCUAGAGUGCAGGAGAGGAAGGUAGAAUUCCCGGUGUAGCGGUGAAAUGCGUAGAGAUCGGGAGGAAUACCAGUGGCGAAGGCGGCCUUCUGGACUGACACUGCCACUGAGGUGCGAAAGCGUGGGUAGCAAACAGGCUUAGAUACCCUAGUAGUC